GGUUGGUCCAGGUGCAGUGGUGUUUGCAGCUAAUUGAUCACAACCAGUUACAGAUUCCUUUGUUCCUUCCCCACUCACUGCUCUACUUGACCAGCCUAAA
RNAcentral lists this Y RNA (100 nucleotides) under Microcebus murinus (gray mouse lemur). RNAcentral describes it as "Y RNA (ENSMICG00000044774.1)". It matches the Rfam family "Y RNA". From Rfam's summary of the family: Y RNAs are components of the Ro ribonucleoprotein particle (Ro RNP), in association with Ro60 and La proteins. Lineage: Eukaryota; Metazoa; Chordata; Mammalia; Primates; Cheirogaleidae. The record is from Rfam by way of RNAcentral.